Molecule: ribosomal RNA, 461 nt
Filed under: uncultured Acidobacteriota bacterium
Lineage: Bacteria; Pseudomonadati; Acidobacteriota
Description: bacterial SSU rRNA
Rfam family: Bacterial small subunit ribosomal RNA
Source: RNAcentral
AACGCUGGCGGCGUGCCUAACACAUGCAAGUCGAACGAGAAAGUGGAGCUAUCCAUGAGUAAAGUGGCGACCGGGUGAGUAACACGUGACUAACCUACCUUCGAGUGGGGAAUAACAUCGGGAAACCGAUGCUAAUACCGCAUAACAUCUCAAGAUCAAAGCAGCAAUGCGCUUGAGGAGGGGGUCGCGGCUGAUUAGCUAGUUGGUAGGGUAAUGGCCUACCAAGGCUUAGAUCGGUAGCCGGCCUGAUAGGGCGCACGGCCACACUGGAACUGAAACACGGUCCAGACUCCUACGGGUGGCAGCAGUGGGGAAUUUUGCGCAAUGGGGGAAACCCUGACGCAGCAACUCCGCGUGGAGGAUGAAGUCCCUUGGGACGUAAACUCCUUUCGACCGGGAUGAUACUGACGGUACCGGAAGAAGAAGCACCGGCUAACUCUGUGCCAGCAUCCGCGGUAAUU